Non-coding RNA from Phrynosoma platyrhinos (Desert horned lizard), 72 nucleotides. Lineage: Eukaryota; Metazoa; Chordata; Lepidosauria; Squamata; Phrynosomatidae. The record is from the annotation of a GenBank genome assembly.
GCCAGCAUGGUGUAGUGGUUUGAGCAUUGGACUACAACUCUGGAGAUCAGGGUUCAAUUCCUCAUUCAGCCA